AAGGUUUCCGACGGAAGGUCAGUCCGCGUCGGGUUAGUCGGGCCUAAGCCGAGGCGUCACAGCGUAGGCGAUGGACAAACGGUUAAUAUUCCGUUACCAGUUGUGGGAGCGAUUGGAAAAUCUCAGGGAGCCCCAGCCUCUUAGUGGAUUGAGGUGGCAAGCGGUUAACGACCGUGAAGCCGGGCGCAAGCCAGAAGUGGGGGGUACCGGGGAUCAAGAAAAGGCCAAUCGUGAUGAAAGCAGCUGCCCGUACCAUAAACCGACACAGGUAGAUGGGUAGAGAAUACCAAGGCGAACGGGAAAACCCUCGUUAAGGAAUUAGGCAAAAUAGCCCCGUAACUUCGGGAGAAGGGGCACCAGCGCGAGCUGGUCGCAGUGAAAGGGCUCUAUCGACUGUUUACCAAAAACACAGGUCUCUGCGAACGCGAAAGCGGACGUAUAGGGGCUGACGCCUGCCCAGUGCCGGAAGGUUAAGAGGAGGGGUGCAAGCUCUGAAUUGAAGCCCCGGUGAACGGCGGCCGUAACUAUAACGGUCCUAAGGUAGCGAAAUUCCUUGUCGGGUAAGUUCCGACCCGCACGAAAGGCGUAACGAGUGGAGCACUGUCUCAACGAGGGACCCGGCGAAAUUGAAGUAUGCGUAAAGAUGCGUAUUACCCGCAGCAGGACAAAAAGACCCCGUGGAGCUUUACUAUAGCUUGCCAUUGCGUUAGAACGUGACUUGUAGAGGGUAGCUGGGAGACGGAGAAGCCUGUGCGCUAGCAUGGGUGGAGUCGACGAUGAAACACCAGCCUGGUGACGUUUUGGCCCUAACCUGAUUGAGUGGAUCCUCAGUAGGGACAGUGGCAGGUGGGUAGUUUGACUGGGGCGGUCGCCUCCUAAAAGGUAACGGAGGCGCCCAAAGGUUGGCUCAGGCGGAAUGGAAACCCGCCGCAGAGUGUAAAGGCAAAAGCCAGCUUGACUGCAAGGCCGACGCGCCGAGCAGAGACGAAAGUCGGGCUUAGUGAUCCUACGGCACUGAGUGGAAGGGCCGUAGCUUACCGGAUAAAAGCUACCCCGGGGAUAACAGGCUAGUCUUGUCCAAGAGUUCACAUCGACGACAAGGCUCGGCACCUCGAUGUCGGCUCAUCGCAUCCUGGGGCUGGAUAAGGUCCCAAGGGUUGGGCUGUUCGCCCAUUAAAGCGGUACGUGAGCUGGGUUCAGACCGUCGUGAGACAGGUCGGUCUCUAUCCGCUGUGGGCGUAGGGAGUUUGAGGGGAUCUGUCCCUAGUACGAGAGGACCGGGAUGGACGAAGCGAUUGUGUGCCAGUUGUCACGCCAGUGGCAUAGCUGGGUAGCGAACUUCGGAGCAGAUAACCGCUGAAGGCAUCUAAGUGGGAAACUGACCUCAAGAUGAGACUCCCCAUCCGCAAGGAGUAAGACCGCAGGAAGACGACCUGCUGGAUAGGCGGGGUGUGGAAGCGCAGUAAUGUGUGGAGCAGACCCGUACUAAUGGUCGAGGGCUUAUGAGA
Molecule: ribosomal RNA, 1508 nt
Filed under: bioreactor sludge metagenome
Description: bacterial LSU rRNA
Rfam family: Bacterial large subunit ribosomal RNA
Source: RNAcentral